CCAACCAGUCUUAGGACUGAUGACCUUAUGAUGAUUAACCGCUUAUUAAAACGCUGUAUUAAAAUACAGAUUGCAGUUUUGAAUUAAAUUUAUUUUGUGUACAAGCACAAAACAUUUUCUUUUUUUGGUACAAAGUCAACCUUUCUUUUUGGCGUUCAAUCUUAAGCUGUGGUAAAAACUCAAAGUUAAAUUAUGUCCAGUACCGUCGCCAUUCGUCACUCUCGGUUCCUUAGUUAGGGUCAGUUCGUGACGGUACGGUGCGACUUCUUAAAAACUACGUAAGGCAACCCUCUGCAUGCUGUUAAAAAAUAUUUCUCUGUCUUACAAUUUUUCCUGCACUUUCUCUUUCCAAGAAAAGGUUUCAAGAACGUUAAUGGUGUGAUGAUCACGUGUAAACUGCAAAUGUUUCGGUUUUACAUACAUUCGCAGCGAAUGCCACUCCAGUUUAGGAAAAUAGCAAAUAAGUAUGGAUUCAUAUUAGUUUUUGACAAUUUCAGUGUGUCAUGCAGCGACGGUUGCGAUCUGCAACAAGAAUUCGGUGGAUGUUAAGGACUCUACGAUGUAUAUUUCCAUGUUUCCGUGCAAUGAAUGAGCCAAAUUGAUAGUUGAAAAUGGAAUAAAGGAAGUUGUGUACCUAUCAGAUAAAUAUAAAGACGAAAUACCAACAGUUGCAUCAAAACUGAUAUUUGAUGCAGCAAAAGUAAUAUUUAGGCGGAUUAAACUGAAAAACCCGAAAAUUGUGAUAAGCUUUUCCGAUAUCAAUGCUGUCAGUAUGGAUAUAGAUUAUAGAGAAAAUAUAUAACAAUACAUAUUUGUAUUAAACUUUUAGACAAUU
Agrilus planipennis (emerald ash borer) is the source of this 835-nucleotide long non-coding RNA. RefSeq lists it as uncharacterized. The transcript is spliced from 2 exons. The record is from RefSeq and is a predicted model, not a curated record. Lineage: Eukaryota; Metazoa; Arthropoda; Insecta; Coleoptera; Buprestidae.